AUUGAACGCUGGCGGCAGGCCUUACACAUGCAAGUCGAACGGUAGAGGGGGCAACCCCUUGAGAGUGGCGAACGGGUGAGUAAUAUAUCGGAACGUGCCCAGUCGUGGGGAUAACGUAGCGAAAGUUACGCUAAUACCGCAUACGAUCUACGGAUGAAAGCGGGGGACUCGCAAGAGCCUCGCGCGAUUGGAGCGGCCGAUAUCAGAUUAGGUAGUUGGUGAGGUAAAGGCUCACCAAGCCGACGAUCUGUAGCUGGUCUGAGAGGACGACCAGCCACACUGGGACUGAGACACGGCCCAGACUCCUACGGGAGGCAGCAGUGGGGAAUUUUGGACAAUGGGCGCAAGCCUGAUCCAGCAAUGCCGCGUGCAGGAUGAAGG
Molecule: ribosomal RNA, 381 nt
Filed under: uncultured bacterium
Lineage: Bacteria
Description: bacterial SSU rRNA
Rfam family: Bacterial small subunit ribosomal RNA
Source: RNAcentral